Molecule: long non-coding RNA, 2320 nt
Filed under: Limulus polyphemus (Atlantic horseshoe crab)
Lineage: Eukaryota; Metazoa; Arthropoda; Merostomata; Xiphosura; Limulidae
Description: uncharacterized LOC111085125
Source: RNAcentral
ACUGCCUGUGCGAAUGUUUGUGUAGUAGACUGUUGGUUUGUGUUGGUACUCUCUUGAGGUUUUGGUGUUGGUAGCAAUGGUGUUUUUCUUUGUGUGCUGUUUGCUUCAUAAUUUUGUGCUUGUGUGUUUGUAUUAUUUUGAAUGUUAAUUAUGCAUGUUUUUAUGUUCUUAUAUUUUAGCCAUCCUUUAUAGUUUGCCGUAUGUUGCUGUUGGCAGUUACAGCAGUAUGAUUGCGGAUUUAUGCGUGGGCAAUCAGUGUUUCUGUGUUCUCUCCCACGCUGCGUAGGGUAAAAGCGGCUACCACAUGUCCAAAGCUUUGGCAGCUGUAACACUGGGUUACAACUACCGCUGGCGUUUUUAUGGAUUCUUCGAUACCAGAAAAUAAUACCAUUUGAUAUUACACUCUGGAUAUCUUGUGUUUCGUGUACGUAUAUUCUAACUAGGUUUGUAAAUCUCUGUGUUCUGUUGGAAAAAAAAUUCGUUCAACUUUAGUGAAUUGUAUGUGUUUAUUUGUGAGUUCAGUUUCAAUGUCUUCGUUUGUAAUGCUGGUGUGUAUAUAUUUUAUAACAAAAUAUUUUGGGUUCGGUUUGUUUUCUGGUAUGUGUACUGCGAUGUUUCCGGGUUUAAAUGCGUCUUGCGCCAUUCUUUCAAUAGACGGUUGAGGUCAGCGGCCUAUGACCCUUUAACUAGGACCCCGCCCUAGGCUAGACGCUUGAUUGCUGUUAUGUUUACUUUCGGCUUACAUCUUUUGAUUUCAGCCACAAGUUGUGUUCCCUAUACUGCGCUGGAAUUCCUUAUAUUAUUAUUGAGUACUGUUGUGUUUUUUAUGUUACAUUUGUUUGAGUGAUCGUGUUUUGUGGUGUCAGUUUUCUUAGUUUCUUAGGUGUUACCAGAAUGAAAUCAUUUGUAUCUUCGUGUAUUUGUGGUGUUUCUUGUGAUGGUUUACAUUCAACUAAGUUUGCUUCUUUUUGUUUCACUUCUUGUUCAUGUGCGUUUUCGUGUGCUUCUUUAUGUUGUGUUUGAUUUAGUGUCUGGUUGUAUUCUUCUUUGUGUUCAUGUGAUUUUGGUGUUUCUGCUUGUUUCUAUGACUUCCAUGUCUGAGUUCUCUACUCGUGAGUUUGAUUUUGUUGUCUUUUUAAGUUUUUUUUUGCUCUCAUCCUUAGUUUGUAGUCCUUUUUGCAAGGGCUACUAGUUGGUUAAGUUAUGGGGUGAAGUGUUUUGUGUUUUCUAUUAUUGAAUCUGCAACCAAACCAGCCUUACCUGAAGCUCUGCUCGUGCUGGGCGUUGACAUAGAUCCCCGCCACCGGAGGUUUUGGACAUAGCUGUCGGUGUGCUUUCUUCUUGUAACGGGUACUUUGGCUUCAGAUUUCGGCUUGGAUAGAAUUUUUGGCGGCAGCCCAGUGAAGUAGAGUUUUCUCGGGGCACCCCCCCCCCAUACCUGAAUACCAUAUAGGUAUAAAUAUCUCUAGGGAAAAUCAACGGACACGGCUCCAAAUGUUCCUUUGCUGAUGUGAGUGUUCUAAGUUCCCCAAUGGAGCCUGGGGCAAAGCCUUAAUCGCCGACAUUUCUGAUGCAUUUUAGGCGGGAAAAGAGAAUACAAAACUCUAUUUUAAGUUGCUUUAUUAUGUUGAGGGCAUAUAAUCCAGUGACAGAAUGCUCGUGACCUGUGAUAACGUCGAGACGAAUGAGACUCCAGUAUGUCAGUGCAUAAUGAAAUGAUGGUCCUGCACCUUGAAACCAGUGGAAAUGAGCUUAAGCAUUCACUGUAUUCUGUGGUAGGAACAGAUAGAAGUAGAGGUUAACCUGUCUACUCAUUUAACCACAGAGGGCAGAACAUCUUUUACAUAGUUAGAGAAACACUCUGAUGGAGGAAUGUAAAGAUUUGUCUGCACCCUCACUGUGGCAAUAGGACACUGGAAAUAGGAGAUGAGGUCGAAACCUCGACCUAGAUAAAACGCAGAUAUCCCAUUUUGAGUUUUUGCGCAAUAUCCUGUUUCCUAUUUUGUUUUGCAAUUUAAAACCAAACAAGUGGAAAGUGGGUGAAUCAACAUAUUUUCACAUGUCACUCAACUGUGUGUUAAUUUAGAGAUGGACAUAUAAAUCUGUCAACUGCUACUAUUUAUAGCAGCUUACAGAAAAUAAAGAAGAAUGAAGAAGAAAGAUCUACUUUUCGAAAGCGCUCGGUUUAUAGCGUUUUUAUUAAUUUCUAUCAAGACUUCUUGAACCUAUGUGUUUUUCUAACAUCAUGAAGCUUACAGAAAAUCAUAUACGAUUAGCAUUUUCUUAUGUUGCCCCCCAGUGGCACAUCAUGUAGUUUGGA